AAUCAACGCUGGCGGCGUGCCUAACACAUGCAAGUCGCACGAGAAAGGGUCUUCGGAUCUGAGUAAAGUGGCGCACGGGUGAGUAACACGUGAAUUAUCUACCUUUGAGUGGGGAAUAACUUCGGGAAACCGAGGCUAAUACCGCAUAAUAUCUACGGAUCAAAGCAGUAAUGCGCUUGAAGAGGAGUUCGCGGCAGAUUAGUUAGUUGGCGGGGUAAUGGCCCACCAAGACGAUGAUCUGUAUCCGGCCUGAGAGGGCGCACGGACACACUGGAACUGAAACACGGUCCAGACUCCUACGGGAGGCAGCAGUGGGGAAUUUUGUGCAAUGGGGGAAACCCUGACGCAGCAACGCCGCGUGGAGGAUGAAGUCUCUUGGGACGUAAACUCCUUUCGAUAGGGAAGAUUAUGACGGUACCUAUAGAAGAAGUCCCGGCUAACUUCGUGCCAGCCGCCGCAGUAA
RNAcentral lists this ribosomal RNA (463 nucleotides) under uncultured bacterium. Its description in RNAcentral is "partial 16S ribosomal RNA". It matches the Rfam family "Bacterial small subunit ribosomal RNA", at positions 32 to 523 of the family's 1533-position model. The record is from RNAcentral.